AGACUUUUAAUCUGAGGGUCCAGGG
This 25-nucleotide non-coding RNA is filed under the name Xenopus tropicalis (tropical clawed frog). RNAcentral also lists the same sequence under 3 other names. Lineage: Eukaryota; Metazoa; Chordata; Amphibia; Anura; Pipidae. The record is from RNAcentral.